GUUUGGGCUUUCAUCGGGUCCACACUGAGAAGGCACUUCCCAGGAAGAAAGGGGAGCAGGUGCAACAGUAAGACACCCAGGUAAGUACCAGCUCCAAGGAGUUUGGCAAGGUGUGCACAAGGGCAGGAGGGGAAAAUGGAGGAAUAUAAGGCUGGGGAGCAGGGAGGGGCAAGACCAGGAAAGGAAUUUGCUGAAAAAUAUGCCUUUUAUGUGGCACUUAACAGGGAACCAGCAGCAGUGGAGGAAUACAACAAAAUAAAAAUUGAAAGUGGAUGCACUUAGUAUUCAGUAGAGAAAAAAAAGUAUCAAGAUCUGCCUUUUCUCCCAUGACCUCCUUGUCAAUAUUUGAUGAGACACCAAGUCUACAGUCUGUCCCGUGGGGCUAUAGUUCACAUUUCUUUCUUGGGAUCCAUUCUAUGGUUCCCUAAUUCGGAAGCCCAUCCUUUUUAAUUUUCAGCACCAUGAUGACCUUACAAUUACUGUCUCCAUCUUUUAAUCUUUCCUGCACUUACAGAGUUUUCUAAAAUCAGAAACACCAGGGAAUAUGUACAAAAUAUGAGAGGAGCUCGGUAUCUAUUCCUUAGGGAACACUAAAAAGUGGCAAUUAAAACUCACAUAAGAGUUUAUAAUUUGCAAAGCAUUUUCUCAUAGCCUUUACAUUUUGUAGCUAGCCAAUGCUGCUUUCAUCAAGGACUAAAUUGGUGAGAAAUACAACGAACGGAUAUGAUAAGGGUACAAAGCAAAGAGUAAAGACCCAGAAGGCAGCACCAAGGGGCAAGAAGAAGUUGAACGUGGGUACAGAAGUGUGUUUCUGAAAUGGAGUUUAAUAAAACUUUUGAAAUGGAAGAACCUUGUUGUAGGUCGAAUGGUGUCCUGUCAAAAUUCAUAUGUUAAAACCCUAACCCCUAGGACUCAGAAUGUGAUCUUGUUUGGAAAUUGGGUCCUUGUAGAUACGAUUGGUUAAGAUGAACUCAAAUUGGAAUAAGGUAGGUCCCUAAUCCAAUAUGACUGGUGUCCUUAUCAAAAAGAGAAAUUUGGGCACAGAGACAAGCAUAGAGGAAAGACAGUGUGAGGAGAAACAGGAAUUGUGAGACAAUACGUAUAUGUUGUUUAAGCCCUCAGUUUGUGGUACUUUGUUAUGGUAGCCCUAGCAAAGCAAUACAAAUGUCAAGAAAUUUUGAUGUCAGGCUUUGGGUGAUUGAUCCGUGUGACUGCCUCUAGUGGAUACUACCGCUACUUCACUUUUUUUUUUUUUCUUCUUUUUACAGGGGCACCUGUGGCAUAUGGAAGUUCCUGGGCUGAGGGAGAAUAGGAGCUACAGCUGGGGCCUCUUCCACAGACACAGUAACCCUGGAUCUGAGCUGCAUCUGCAACCUGUGCUGCAGCUUGCAGCAAUGCCGGAUCCUUAACCCACUGAGUGAGGCCAGGGAUAAAGCUCGCAUCCUCAGGGACGCUAUGUUGAGUUCUUAACCUGCUGAGCCACAGCAGGAACUCUGUCGGGUAUUUCACUCGUCUUCCCUUAGAUAUCAUUUACUGUUUUCAUCAAGUUCUGCCCCACUUUCUCUCCACUUCAUCGGGCUUUAUCUUCCUUUAUCUUCCUCAGGCUACAGGAGCAGCUUUGCCCUCGUGUGCAGACCAGGAGUUUAGAACCUCUCUCCCUAUACCCAGUGGUCCUUGACCAAUGGCUGAAUGGCAGAAUGUAGGAACAGCUAGCUUUCUGGGCUCUGAGGUGGAUCUCCACUCCAAAGGCCCCCUGCAGGACAAGGAUGAAACUCUCUGCCCCAGGACUUCAUCUGAGAUCUCCCUCUUGGCCUGCUUCCCCCAUGUUUGUUUGUUUGUUUGUUUUUUACCAGUUUCUCCUAGAAGUACUGCUUACCUAAAUCACUCUAUCUGAAUCUUCAUCUCAGGAUAUGCUUCUCAGGACCCCAGCCUAAGACGAUGCUGACUCUCUCCCCAGCACCUGAAAUGACUAAAGUUGUAGUAGGUAGUAAGGCAGUGUCUUUUUUUCAUGAAAAAAGGAAGUGAGUUUGGUAAAUUCCAGCCAAGGUGAUAGUUUAAAGGCAGUAUGGACAGAUAACCUAUCCUUUAGAAGAGAGUGUUUGAACAGGGAUGAAAAAAUAACACAUGGAGGUGACAAAAGGUACCUAGUAGAAUGUCCACACAAGCUCUAUAUCCUUGGUACGCAAGGAAUAAUAUAUUAUUAAGAAUAAGAUGAACAUACUUGUAGUUAUGAUGCAACAUAAUUUACAGCAGAUGGAUUUAAUAGUUCACACAUCCUGGUUCUUGGCAUGUCGUUUCCCAUCUCCUCGUGUGCUCCAAGAGUUAAGGCAACAUAUCUAACUUGUGGCAAGGAGAUGACUGUGUCACCUGUAGGAUUUGGCUCCAUGUUGGUUCAAUGUUUCAGAAUUUCAAGUGCUUUUUUUCCCCCUUUCUUUAAAACAUCUAAAUGCGGCAUUGAUAAAUGUCACGGAGAAUAACAUAUGUGAUGGAAUGUGCUGAGGAUAAUGGGAGUUACUUUCUUGUUCACCUGAACCAUGACUUGUCUACCUUUAGCAAGAAUAAUGAAUGUAAUUUAAUACAGCACCUUUGUAGGGAAGUGACUCAAAACACUUUCCAAAGAGAAUAUUAAAAUGCUGAAUUAUGCAAUAAAGACAGAGAUUUAAGUAGAUUAUAAUAGAUUACGCACUUACAAAAUCAUAUAGUGCAGCAGAGGGUACAUUUAAAAUAUACAUUAUAUUGUUAUUAGGUAAGUGUGAACAUAGAAAGACAAGGCAAUAUGGAAUAAGGAAAACAAAGGUCAUAUGGAGAUUAAAUAGCUAUUUUAAUGAAUAGAGCCAGCGCAGGUUACUGCAAAGGGCAUGAGAGACUGAGUCGGAUGGGACAUAGUUUGAGCCAUCAUGGAUGAUCUGGAUAGUUUUAAACAUGAAUGUAUUUGAGCUUUAAUCUCCCUACAUAGGUAAAGUGAGCUAAAAUUACUAGCUUUGUAGGGCAUUCAUGGGGAAUUAAUGUGAUAAUAUAUUUUAAAAGGUGUCCAAUAAAAGACAGCUUUAAAACAUUAUCCUUCUUAUCAAUAAGAUGUAAUAACCACAGCCGCCUUUAACCCCCUCAUAAGGUCUUUCCACAUACCUUAACAUUUAUCGGUGACAUGCAACCCAAUAUAUCCCUAACAAUCCCAUUUCUCUCUAUUCCAUUGAAUGUAGUCAUACUCGAAGCACUUGAAGAAAAAAAUGGAAUUCUUUGAGUUCAACUACAUUAUUUAACACCUAAAGAAACUGAGGCCCAAUGAGGUGAAAUGAUUUAUUCAUAAUCACACAUAAUUGUUCUACUAUUUUGUCCAGAGACUCUGCCCUGCCCUUCAGGUGCAUCAUUAUGUUUGACUCUUAUGUUGAGUUGAGGAGGAAGAUGUUCUUAUUUAUCCCUGAAGAAAGUGAGGCACAGAAAUAGGAAAUCAUUUGCCUAAAAUCACACAGCUGUCAGGUGGCACAGCUGGGUUUUCAACCUAGGUCCAGCUGACUCCUUAGCAGGUGUCUUCACAGUCCCUCUCGCCCCUCCCACCUUCCCACCUCCAUUCUCCUACUGAAUUUGCUCAGGGGCAGGAAACAGCUCAGAUCUUACUUUAUUGGUAGUUAUGUAAGCAGGUUGCUAGUAACUACUGCCAUUUCUCCUUUACUAGAGAUUUUCUGUGCCCCUAUGAGAAAGCCAAAAAUUACUAUAUGCUGUUCAUUUUUUUUUUAAAUGUCAAACAAAAGGUGAGAUUUAAAAUGAGUUUUCAGGUAACCUGAAUUUUUUGGGUGAGAAGUUUUUGCUUGUCCACUAGCCAUGGGACCCACACUCACAAAACAAUGAUUACUCUGUCGAAUUUUUAGACCUCAUUAUGGCUAUUCAGUCUUUUGGAUAUAGGAUAAAGGUAAAAGAUCAGUUACUUUCUUUUUGUUUAUUUUUGUAUUGAAGUAUGGUUGAUUUACAAUAUCAUAUUAGUUUCAGGUGUACAGCAAAGUGAUUUGGUUAUAUAUAUAUUUUUGGAUUCUCUUCUAUUAUAGGUUAUUACGAGAUACUGAAUAUAGUUCUCUGUGCUGUGCAGUAAACCGUUGUUGUUGAUCAACUAUUGUUACUUAGAAAUGAUGGCUAAGGAAGUGAUGGUUAAAAACACAAAACUUCCACAUCAGUUCACCAACAUGACUUUCUAAGCUUGCAAGAUCCCUGGCAGCAGCUCUUCCCAUAAAUCAACAUGUCAGAAGAAAACAAUGACCCUUCCCAGGCAACAGAAUAAAACCCCUGAACUCUCCAAGGUUGACUUGGAACAGAAGUCUCCAAGACAACCUUGAUACAUCUCAUUCCUUUCCCACUCAUGGAGGGGAAGUACAAGGUGUGAUGGAAUUCCUUCAACCUAAUCAAGAGGCUCACCAAUCCAGAACGACCCUAGAGGACCCAGAUAAGAGAGUGAAUUAAUUGCCCAUUGUAAAUAUCGGUAUCCUUUGGCCAAGCCACCAACCGUUAUUCUCUGAUGUGAGUAGCACCAAGAAUUUUUAUUUGGACUGAAAUCCAGGAAGAAAAUUAAAAAAAAAAAUAAUAGUUCAUUUCAUCUUCCUGACAACAAUCAGGGUGGGAUGAUUUGCAACCAGAAGUCCAAGGGAAACCAGAUCAACUGUGGGAUGUUUUCAGUUUCAUAGAUUUCAGAGGUGGAAGGCAACUUAUACCUCAUCCUGUCCAACUGCCUUGUUUUACCCAGGAGAAAACAUGGACCCAAGAAGCAAGGCAACUUGUCCAAGGGCGCACAGGUAGCUAUAUGACAGAAGUGGGUCUAGUUGCUGGCCUUCUUCCUCUUUUUCAUUGCUUUUUCUAUAACACAGCAUGGCCUAAUUAUGAACUAUGGUCUGGCAUUCCAUGCUCCACCAUGUGUGUACUGAGCUCUUAUUAUGUGCUUAGCUAUGUUUCCAGGAACAAUUCUAGGAGAAAAAAAUGAGUUAACUCAGUUAUAAAGAGCCUUUAUUAAUUUAUUCAUUUAGGGCUGCACCCCGGUGCUGCUCAUGGAGCUUCCCAAGCUAGGGAUUGAAUCAGAGCUGUAGCUUCUGGCCUAUGCCACAGCCACCGAAAUGCCAGAUCUGAGCCAUGUCUGUGACCUAUACCAUAGCUCACCGCAAGGCCGAUGAGGCCAGGGAUUGAGCCUGCUGCAUCCUCAUGGAUGCUAGUCUGAUUGGUUUCCACUGAGCCAUGACGGGAACUUCAAAGAGCCACUUUUAAAUGUAUACUGUCUCAUUUAAUCCACACAAAGACACUGUGUCCCUACUACCACGGAGGAAACUCAAACCUGCUUAUGGUCACACAGCUAAUUGAGAGCAAAGCUGUGAUUCAGAUUGAAGUUGUAUGACCCUAUAUCCUAGGCUUAUUAUUCUAUAUCCUUUUGUCUUUUCAUUACCUAGGUGUUUUCCUCUUCAAUUCAUACCCCUUACUCAUUUCCACAGAGUCUUUUUCUAAUCCGGUUGUCAAGGGUGAACCAUGAUCUGAGAGCUUACAAAGCCCCAGACCUCAAGGAGCUGACAUUCUUGGGGCUCACAGACCAAAGACCAUAAAUAGGUACACAUACAAAAUGUAUCACUCUGGGGUGAGGGGUAAGAAAGAAAAUCAAGCAUUGAAAGAAGCAGACUGACCAGAGGGGGGCAGUAUUUUCGAUGGGGCAGUUGGGAAGGUCCCUCAAGGAGGGGACUUCUGAGCAGAGCCUGAAAAUGGCCAAGUGCCAGGAUGGAGACGAGACGCUGAAGGACUCGGUAGUCACAGGGGGACUUUUUGGGGAGGGGUCAGUCCAGUGUGUUCAUUAACAGCAAUACUCCUGGGAUUGAAUAUCUACUGGACUAUUUGUUGGCUACCUGACUUAGGUACGUUCCCUCAAAUCCUCUGAACCUCCUGUCUAAAAUUGGACUAAUUAGAGUCCCCAGCCCCCUUUUCUCUAAAAUGGGAUUACUCAGUACUCAGUUUUAGGGUCAUGUGAAAAUUAAUGGAAAACAAAGUCCAUGGAUACACAAUAAAUAGCCGUGUUCUCUCUCUCUCUCUCUCUCUCUGGCUCUAAAUGAUAUACCCAUCAUUCUUGUAAUUUAAUAUCACUGUCCUACUGCUGUACAGCACAGGGAACUAUGUUCAAUCUCAGGUUAGAACAUGAUGGACGAUCAUAGGAUAAAAAAAAAAUGUGUACAUAUAGACACGACUGGGUCACUUUGCUGUACAGCAGAAAUUGAAGGAACAUCGUAAAUCAACUACACUUUAAUCAGAAAGUUUUAAAAAAUAACAUUGCCCUAGAUUCUGUUUCCACACUCAAAAAAAAAAAAAAAAAGCAGGAUUUUUUUUUAAAACAUUUUUAUCACUUCAAUAAACUAUUAUGAGGAAGGCCAAUAAAAUAAACUAAAUAAAAGGGAAGCUGUUCUGGUUGACUCAAGGGAGCAGCAGGCAGGCACAAUCUGCUCGGCUCCACCUUCCCAUAACCCACCCCACGGUGGUCCUGAGAAAGCCCCAGGCUUCAGGGGACAGAGCAAAGAACAUCACCAUUUGACAGUACUUCUAACAAAAUGACUGCCCCCCACCCCACCCCGGGGGUGGGGAGAGAGAGCUGAACCUGCUAUUGUUAAAGUAAUGUUGACAAGAGCAAAGUUUGGCCUCUCGGCUCUUUGAUUUUUUUUUUUUUUUUUUGAAUAAAGAGAUUACUAGGCCACGGGACAGCACAUAGCCAUCCUCCUUGAGGUGGAUGCUGGGGUUGUUUAUUUAGCUCAGGGCUUAGUCACAAGUUCAGAACAUUCUGUGGGUUUUACUGGAACUCGAUAUCAUGGCUCAUCCCAACUCAAAUCACUCCGGCCAAGGCUGCCAGGGACCUCCUCCGGGGGGAUGAGUAGGCUUCCCAGGCUCCCGGAGAGGAAAUGUGCCCCUGCUUCUCCUUCAGCUUGAGUCGUGGCCCCCGUGGUGUCCUUGUCCCAAAGAGCUGGAAGGCAGCUGUGUCCAGUGCCUGGCGGGGGAGACUUCCUUGGGUUGUGGAGCCUAGAAAGCUGGCUACUUAGGAUGUCUAGAAAUAUCCCCAUCACCUGGAGGUCAAGUUAUGUUUUUAUUCCUUCUGUGUGUUUCACUUGCACACUGCCGUGCAUUUGGGUGUGGUUAGCCCAAAUAUGGGUCUGUUGUUGAGGGCUCCUUGGUCUCUUGUCUGUUUACUUCAGCUCAUUUCACCGCAGCACUUACCAAACCCUCUUUUCUUCCGUUCCUGAACCUCACUUUCUUCAGGGAAAGACACUCAGAUUGGUUGAAGGCCUAUAAUGCGCCAGCCAGAGGAUAGGGCCUCCAACCUCGGAAACCUGGGGAAGCUUCUCCAAAAGUCCAGAGAGGAAGAAAUUCUCUUCCCUCUUUAGAAGAGGAAACUGAGCCCCAAAGACCUUAAGUCAUUCGAGGUCACGUAGUGAAUGAAUAGGAGACAGUCAUUUCAAACCAAAGUCAGGCCGACUCAGCAGCCUCUUCUUUCCACUGUGCUGUGCUCUGGUGAGAAAAUCCAUCUAAUUAAAAUU
RNAcentral lists this long non-coding RNA (7535 nucleotides) under Sus scrofa (pig). RNAcentral describes it as "lncRNA (ENSSSCG00000060440.1)". Lineage: Eukaryota; Metazoa; Chordata; Mammalia; Artiodactyla; Suidae. The record is from RNAcentral.